This 758-nucleotide ribosomal RNA is filed under the name Clostridioides difficile CD144. RNAcentral's name for it is "bacterial SSU rRNA". It matches the Rfam family "Bacterial small subunit ribosomal RNA", at positions 8 to 796 of the family's 1533-position model. The record is from RNAcentral. Lineage: Bacteria; Bacillati; Bacillota; Clostridia; Peptostreptococcales; Peptostreptococcaceae.
AGAGUUUGAUCCUGGCUCAGGAUGAACGCUGGCGGCGUGCCUAACACAUGCAAGUUGAGCGAUUUACUUCGGUAAAGAGCGGCGGACGGGUGAGUAACGCGUGGGUAACCUACCCUGUACACACGGAUAACAUACCGAAAGGUAUGCUAAUACGGGAUAAUAUAUUUGAGAGGCAUCUCUUAAUAUCAAAGGUGAGCCAGUACAGGAUGGACCCGCGUCUGAUUAGUAGUUGGUAAGGUAACGGCUUACCAAGGCGACGAUCAGUAGCCGACCUGAGAGGGUGAUCGGCCACAUUGGAACUGAGACACGGUCCAAACUCCUACGGGAGGCAGCAGUGGGGAAUAUUGCACAAUGGGCGAAAGCCUGAUGCAGCAACGCCGCGUGAGUGAUGAAGGCCUUCGGGUCGUAAAACUCUGUCCUCAAGGAAGAUAAUGACGGUACUUGAGGAGGAAGCCCCGGCUAACUACGUGCCAGCAGCCGCGGUAAUACGUAGGGGGCUAGCGUUAUCCGGAUUUACUGGGCGUAAAGGGUGCGUAGGCGGUCUUUCAAGUCAGGAGUGAAAGGCUACGGCUCAACCGUAGUAAGCUCUUGAAACUGGGAGACUUGAGUGCAGGAGAGGAGAGUGGAAUUCCUAGUGUAGCGGUGAAAUGCGUAGAUAUUAGGAGGAACACCAGUUGCGAAGGCGGCUCUCUGGACUGUAACUGACGCUGAGGCACGAAAGCGUGGGGAGCAAACAGGAUUAGAUACCCUGGUAGUCC